AACAACAUGAGUCUCCCCUUCCUUCUUCCUGGAAAAUCCUCCAUAUUUCUUUGCCGAAUUGUCCUCGCGGGAUAGACGUCCUUCUCAGACUCCCUCUUCUAGCCUCAUCCCCAUAUUUACCAUUUCGGUAAAGUCCGAGGGAGCACUAGCAAUCAUGCGCUCAUAGUAGAAAGAGUUCAAAGUCUUCAAAAAGAUCUUUGUCAUCUCCUUCUCCUCCAAGGGCAGCACUAUCUGAGCUGCCAAUUCCUUCCAUCUCUGGGC
RNAcentral lists this long non-coding RNA (261 nucleotides) under Lathyrus oleraceus (garden pea). RNAcentral's name for it is "Pisum sativum (pea) long non-coding RNA (PSAT_LNC027206)". The record is from RNAcentral. Lineage: Eukaryota; Viridiplantae; Streptophyta; Magnoliopsida; Fabales; Fabaceae.